GACGAACGCUGGCGGCGUGCUUAACACAUGCAAGUCGAACGGAAAGGCCCUGCUUGCGGGGUACUCGAGUGGCGAACGGGUGAGUAACACGUGGGUGGUGUGCCCUGCACUGCGGGGUAGGCCUGGUAAACUGGGGCUUAUACCGGCCAGGUGCCAUCUUUAGAGAGAUGGUUGAAGAGUUUGUUGUGUGUAGGCUUGGCUCACGGCCUAUCAGCCUGUUAGUGGGGUAAUGGCCUACCAAGGCGGCGACGGGUAGCCUGCCUGGGAGGGUGGACGGCCACAUUGGGACUGAGAGACGGAGCAGAAGCCUACGGGAGGCAGUGGUGGGGAAUAUUGCACAAUGGGGCCGAGUCUGAGGCAGAGACUCCGCGUGGGGGAUGACCGGCUUGGGGUUGUAAACGUUGUUCGGUAGGGAAGAAGCUUUUAGUGACGGUACCUAGAGAAGAAGCACCGGCUAACUACGUG
This 465-nucleotide ribosomal RNA is filed under the name uncultured bacterium. RNAcentral's name for it is "partial 16S ribosomal RNA". It matches the Rfam family "Bacterial small subunit ribosomal RNA", at positions 28 to 507 of the family's 1533-position model. The record is from RNAcentral.